Ricinus communis (castor bean) is the source of this 549-nucleotide long non-coding RNA. RefSeq lists it as uncharacterized. The record is from RefSeq and is a predicted model, not a curated record. Lineage: Eukaryota; Viridiplantae; Streptophyta; Magnoliopsida; Malpighiales; Euphorbiaceae. The transcript has 2 exons.
CCAAUGCGGAUAAGACAUUAAGAAUAAACACUCUUAUGUCAUUAUGACAGCCUGAAGUGUCAUUUAACACACCUAACACUUCUUCUAUACUUCAAAGGUUUUUCUGAUGCUGAUUGGAGGAGUAAUAUUGAUGAUCAAAGGUCCAUAUUGGAUUUAUGUCUCUCUGGGAGCCACAUGGGUUGUCUUCUUGGACUCAACAUUGUGGCUAUUUGUCAUGUCACACUAAAGAAACACUGUAGCAGAAAUGCAACAAGGUAUCACCAGCCCGGAAUAACUUGUUUGUAUUGAUAAGGCGCCAGGCAGCUGAAAUAUUUGGCUACAAGGUUUGUAGAUUGGCUUAAUCUGUGCUUGCCAAGAUGCUACCAUGCAUCUUGCUGAUGAAACCCUUCUGCUAUAAGUAGAUAUGGAACUGUUAUUAGUUGCUGUAGAGUUGCCAUGUUUAUUUCUGAAGUUCUUUAAUUUUAGUUUUGAUGUGAGAGAGCUUCAACAUGAAGCUAAUGUAAUUAUGCAAUCCUUUGGACUGUAGUUCUUUAUUUCAAAAUAACUAUC